CAGCAGUUGAUUAGUGAGUGUGAAAUGGAGAAGUAGGAAUUUCAGCUGUGAGAGGCAGAGGGAAGUAUCAGAGGGAGGCAAAAGAGGAGAAGGUUUUGUGGUUAGGGGGAAUUAUCCAUAUCUUCCAGAAUCUUGUCUGUGAAAAUCUCAUCUCCCUUCAAAGUAACUUGGAGUCCUCUUAUCAAUGUCAUUUUCUGCCCUGAUUUCCUUGCAGAUAACAGGUGAAAGUGAAAUUGACCGUAUCAUUUGAGUCUUCAUCGGUGGAGUCUUUGGUGACUACUUUGAUCUCUUCACAGUUGAACUACCUCUGAUUACAAGAGCAACCAGUUAUGUCUUAGAUGCUUUGUACUGAUAUGGAGGAAUACAUUGGUUGUCUCAAAUGUGUGGCAUUAAAUAGCCAGAGUGUAAAUUGAAGGUAUUUAUGCUGUGGUCCCAGGGUUUUAGCCAGCAGAGGGUGCUGUACCUCUCCACAGUUCUGGAUGAGGAUGAAUUCUGAGAUGCUUCCACUAGACCUCCUGGUCUCUGGGGUCUUGGCAAUGACUUUGCAGAAGUGAAUUUCACCUCAAGACUUGAGAAGAAAACAACUGCUCUCCAGUCUUCUAGAUAAAUAAAAAUAUUACUGCAAAGUGGCAAAUUGUUUACAUGAAAUAGGUCACUCGAAAUUUGUAGCAU
This is a long non-coding RNA of Sciurus carolinensis (gray squirrel), 672 nucleotides long. RefSeq lists it as uncharacterized. NCBI's taxonomy places the organism in Eukaryota, Metazoa, Chordata, Mammalia, Rodentia, Sciuridae. The record is from RefSeq and is a predicted model, not a curated record. The transcript is spliced from 4 exons.